GAAGAGGUGGUCCCUCGUCUCCAA
Molecule: non-coding RNA, 24 nt
Filed under: Arabidopsis thaliana (thale cress)
Lineage: Eukaryota; Viridiplantae; Streptophyta; Magnoliopsida; Brassicales; Brassicaceae
Source: RNAcentral